RNAcentral lists this long non-coding RNA (890 nucleotides) under Manihot esculenta (cassava). RNAcentral describes it as "long non-coding RNA (MESC_LNC006494)". Lineage: Eukaryota; Viridiplantae; Streptophyta; Magnoliopsida; Malpighiales; Euphorbiaceae. The record is from RNAcentral.
CAAUAUGACUUCGGCCACUUGUUGGGUAACCCCCCUCGCCGAUCGCCCUACUAAGAGGGCGUCCGAGGCAACAUUCAGGCUCCCCCUGAGCAGCGUAAGAAUCUUAGGGGACUUAAGCUGAUCCAUCUUCAUCUCAGAAGCUGCAAAAAAUCCAAAAUCGGGGCAACUCAUAAUGAUUCUCAGUAAAAAUCACAAAAGCAAGACCAAAAUAGACCUCCAUGAGAGACAAAGUAAUAAAAUGUUCGGCUCGCCUUGACCAGUCCGAAUAAGACAUCGAACAAACACCCUGUGGACGUAAAACCCCCGCUCAGACAGAUAGAUUCGGAAGAAAACAUGAAAAGAACGAAAUUAGGGAUCAACAUUUGAGAAGCAAUCUCGAAAUAUUAGAAAAACCCCGUGAAAGAAAGGAGAUAAGGGAAAGGGUAUACCAUACUCUUUCUGUUUAACAGAGAAAACUGAGCGCACGUCUUUCUGAGGAUCGAUUAUACUGGAGGUAUGUGGAUCGGGAAGGGAGAUCCUCUCAUUCCGGUGAGGGUCCCGAAGGUGAAAAGGGAGGUGAUAUCAAGAUACACCCUGAGAAUGAGGUUUUUAUACCGAACAGAGUGAUGCUAGACUCUAGGAUAGCGGUACCAGGAUCCUUAAAAGCUAUUCAUGGAAAAGGAAGAAAAGCGUGCCUUGAAGAUAAAAGCAGGGAAAUGAAGAUGGCAGAGUGCACAAAGAACAGAGGAAAUCCAGAAGUAGAAAAAGACAGAGAGGAUUCGAAAGUCAAAACGACAAUUAGGUGAAAGGGCGUUAUGAGGCAAGCUGUAUAUCAACAGGCGCGGUCAUAAUGAUUCUUGGUAUUUACCCCCUCAUCAGUUGGGCAAUAACUGACGAGAAGGUAAAGGGGC